This 1363-nucleotide long non-coding RNA is filed under the name Equus asinus (donkey). RNAcentral describes it as "lncRNA (ENSEASG00005036052.1)". The record is from RNAcentral. Lineage: Eukaryota; Metazoa; Chordata; Mammalia; Perissodactyla; Equidae.
CCCCAUUAAGGUUCCAAGUGACAUGGAAAUAGAAGAAUUUUCCUUGUGGUGUAAAUUCCCCCCUCCCCCGCAGCUUUCAGAACUUUAGAAUUUGCAUUCUGUUUUACCAAUUUCUUUCUUCAUUUUCUCUCCCCAAUACAAUUCGCUCAUUUGCCUAAACUUCUGUUCAAUGUUUAUAAAAAUGAUAGCCGUAUUGCAUGACUGUUCCACGACUGGAUAGAUUAUGAAGAUGGGUACUUUUAGCUAUAUGGUGGGAGUGUGCAGGAAUUUUCAGCGGUGGUAUGGGAGGGGAACCAGUAGGUUUCAUAACGGAAAUACGGAGUCUCAUCGUUUCCAUUUUCCGAGGCGGAAGAGGCUACUUCAGUUUCAGGCCCGUCCAGCCGAGCAGACCCGGGCCUCCUGAAAGUCGCAGAUUCUGGCUCUGUGGGAGGUCCUUCUGGAAACAGCACACACAGAGCUCAGCCGUGAAGCUCCUGGGAGGAAGGCGAGGGGGCCCGGUCCUUCCGGACACUAUUGUUUCCUCUAAAUACUUCAUUCCCCCCCAGGUUCAGGAGGCGGCAUUGUAGGGGACACCUGCUCUUUUCAUCUGCCAGAAUCCCAUCCAACACUCAUUUGGGGAGAGCAUCCCCCUUCCAAUGGGGAAUAAUCCUCUGUGACUCAGGGAUCUCCAGUGGGGCUGCCACUCCCAGCAUUCCACGCCCCUGGCUGUGGGGUGGCUGCACAAUCAGGACUGGCCACAGAUGUUCUCUCCCUGUUCCUGACCACAUUAACUGCACUACGGAUGGACAUGUGACUUGAACCAGGUCAGUUAGAAUCCUUUCCUACAAUAUUAUUUACAGAUGGUAAAAGCAAGAAGGCCUCUCUUCCCCUGGGAUCACUAGCUGAGACGAUUGAAGUCUGGAGCUGUCCCUGGUAAUACUCUCCCCACCUCCAGCCUAUGGAGGAAGCUCGUAUGUAAUAGGAGAGAAUAAGAUCAAAACAUGGAGAAAUCAGGGAGAGAAAGAGUAGGCGCAAAGUGAGAAUGAGUGUGAAAGAGAGAUGAUGAUUCUGAACUCCUGGAUCCAGUCGUUCCUGAAGCCCUAUCCUUUCCCUAUCUUAAGGUGGGAGUCAGUACAUUAGUUUUUUUCAAGCUAGUUUGAUUUGGGGUUUUGUUAUUUGUAUCUAAAAGUCUUGACCAAUACAGGAAGUAGGUCCAUAAGGGCAGUAACUGCUUUGUACUUCAGGAGUAUUAAUUCAUAUUCCAGCUUAGACUUACCAUCUGGAGUAGUGUCUGGCACAUGGCAAGUACUCAAGAAAUAUGUGUUGAAAGAGGGAUAACUCCUUGAUAAUUGCUAAGCUCUUUGGUAAUUCUCUUGACUUCCUG